AUUGAACGCUGGCGGAAUGCUUUACACAUGCAAGUCGAACGGUAGAGGGGGCAACCCUUGAGAGUGGCGAACGGGUGAGUAAUAUAUCGGAACGUGCCCAGUCGUGGGGGAUAACGUAGCGAAAGUUACGCUAAUACCGCAUACGAUCUACGGAUGAAAGCGGGGGACUCGCAAGAGCUCGCGCGAUUGGAGCGGCCGAUAUCAGAUUAGGUAGUUGGUGGGGUAAAGGCUCACCAAGCCAACGAUCUGUAGCUGGUCUGAGAGGACGACCAGCCACACUGGAACUGAGACACGGUCCAGACUCCUACGGGAGGCAGCAGUGGGGAAUUUUGGACAAUGGACGCAAGUCUGAUCCAGCCAUUCCGCGUGCAGGAUGAAGGCCCUCGGGUUGUAAACUGCUUUUGUACGGAACGAAAAGGUUUCUAUUAAUACUAGGAGCUCAUGACGGUACCGUAAGAAUAAGCACCGGCUAACUACGUG
Molecule: ribosomal RNA, 480 nt
Filed under: uncultured bacterium
Lineage: Bacteria
Description: bacterial SSU rRNA
Rfam family: Bacterial small subunit ribosomal RNA
Source: RNAcentral